RNAcentral lists this ribosomal RNA (467 nucleotides) under uncultured bacterium. RNAcentral describes it as "partial 16S ribosomal RNA". It matches the Rfam family "Bacterial small subunit ribosomal RNA", at positions 28 to 507 of the family's 1533-position model. The record is from RNAcentral.
GACGAACGCUGGCGGCGUGCUUAACACAUGCAAGUCGAACGGAAAGGCCUCUUUCGGGGGGUACUCGAGCGGCGAACGGGUGAGUAACACGUGAGUAACCUGCCCUUGACCUUGGGAUAACUUCAGGAAACUGGGGCUAAUACCGGAUAGGAGCUCCUGCUGCAUGGUGGGGGUUGGAAAGUUUCGGCGGUUGGGGAUGGACUCGCGGCUUAUCAGCUUGUUGGUGGGGUAGUGGCUUACCAAGGCUUUGACGGGUAGCCGGCCUGAGAGGGUGACCGGCCACAUUGGGACUGAGAUACGGCCCAGACUCCUACGGGAGGCAGCAGUGGGGAAUAUUGCACAAUGGGUGGAAGCCUGAUGCAGCAACGCCGUGUGCGGGAUGACGGCCUUCGGGUUGUAAACCGCUUUCGCUCAUGACGAAGCUUUGUGUGACGGUAGUGGGUAAAGAAGCACCGGCUAACUACGUG